Molecule: long non-coding RNA, 1012 nt
Organism: Solanum dulcamara
Lineage: Eukaryota; Viridiplantae; Streptophyta; Magnoliopsida; Solanales; Solanaceae
Exons: 2
Source: RefSeq, a predicted model, not a curated record
ACCCAGCAACCCUUUACCCAUCUUCCUCCCAAACAAAAUAAUUCACCAUGUACACUCAUCAUACGCGUACACCUCCGAGUAUACGACCAGCACACCCCGUACUUGUCUUCAUCCAGAACAAACCCAACGAGCCCUAGCAGCUAGCGUGUUCCUCUUCUCUCUUCCAUCCCUUAUCCUCCGUAGGAUGGUUCUCGAAGGUGUCCAGAUGUUGCAAUCUCCUACUUCGCUCUCCCUUCAUCUUGAAAUUGAUGGAUCCCAUUCUCAAAUCCAUUAAGAAUUUGUUCCAAUUGGAACUCGAUUCGGCAUAUUCCUUGGUUCGAAUUUGAAUUUUGAAUUUUUAUCAGAUUUCCCCUCCAAUUUUGACCUAAUUUUCCCAUAUAAAUUCCCCUGUAUUCACUAUUUUGGGGACAGCUGGAGGACUCUUUAAGGGCACACGGUUCCAUCACCUAAAAAAUAGGAUUUUCUCAUCCGAAAUACAAGGAUUCAUUCUCUAAAACAGAGUAGUUUUCUAUUUCUUUUCCUUGAAUUCAAAUCUCUUUUGAUUGAUCGCCGGAGCUCAUUAAAUUUGGCUCACAAUGGUGGAAGGCUUCCAAGCUCGUCGUCAUCCAGUGUCACUGCUCCGAAAAAGGACUUCCUCUUUGCAUUUUGUUGGGUUGAAAAUCAACACUUUUUCAUCGAGCCAGGCUCAUCAAUCAUCCGAAGCAAAAGGAAGCUGAUAUGCAUGCAAAGGAAGCCAAAUGACAGGUUUUGGGAGGCAAGAAUUGAGUUUUAUACCUCAGUAUACAUUGGAUAUACAUUACAUACAACAAUAUACAUGAUAUAUAGUGAUUGUAUACAUAGUGAUACAAGGAGGAAAAUGGACCAAAGCCCAAAAUGAUUAGCAGCUGAAAGGCCUAACUCAAUCCAGGAGAAUAGAACCUGACUUUUGGGCCCAAAAUAGUCCACUUUGGACAUUUGUUAAAUUUAGAUAUUUAUUUCUUAAUUUAUUUAAUUGUUAUUUGUUAAAUUCUAA